RNAcentral lists this ribosomal RNA (134 nucleotides) under uncultured eukaryote. RNAcentral describes it as "partial 18S ribosomal RNA". It matches the Rfam family "Eukaryotic small subunit ribosomal RNA", at positions 1299 to 1458 of the family's 1831-position model. The record is from RNAcentral.
UCGUGGGUUGACCUGUCUGCUUGAUUGCGAUAACGAACGAGACCUCCACCUACUAAAUACAUGUAUAUUUUCGAGUAUAUUAUGUUCUUAGAGGGACUCCCUGCGCAAGCAGGAGGAAGCUGGAGGCAAUAACA